Xyrichtys novacula (pearly razorfish) is the source of this 577-nucleotide non-coding RNA. The record is from the annotation of a GenBank genome assembly. Lineage: Eukaryota; Metazoa; Chordata; Actinopteri; Labriformes; Labridae.
AAAAGUCUUUUCAAGUCACUUAAUACCUUACAGCCCAAACCGUUUAAAAAGUGUCGCAUCAACUAAUAGUCAGGAAUGACGGCCGUUGGUAACACCGUGUUGUGUUGCCAUGUCUGCUUAUUCCCCUCAAAAAAAAAUUUGCUUGUUUUUGUCUUGUUUCUGGAGGUCUGUUAACUUAUUUCUCUCACCAAACUUGGCAACACUGUCUCAAACUCUAGCCUCCCUCAUAACGACAACACCGGGAGGACUGAACAUAAAUCGCUCGCUGGUAUUGCCCGCCUGUUUCCACGUGUUUCCUCGUGUCUCUCUUUUGUUUUGUUUUGGAACAGUGAAUUAGAGAAUCAGUUUAAUGUUUAAUUGUAUUUGAGUCUUCCUUAUUUUUGUGCACAUUGUUUAAGUUUCCAGUUAUUGAAGUUUAUCUGAUUAUUUUUUGUAUGACAUGUAAAAUAGUUUGGUUAAAGCUGCACUAUGUAACUUAACACAAACAAGAACCCUUGUUUAAUAAUAAAUGCAAAUAGGGAAAAAUGCUCAUGAUUUAUGUAAAUCUUUACAAAUAACAAAUGGUUUAUGGCUUUGA